AUCCCGUCAGCAUGGCGUCGGGCUUCAUCGGAGCGCGAGAGGGGGUCUGUUUCUGUCUUUGGUUAUCUAGCUGUAUGAGUUUUAAAUGCCUGUCAUAAAGCUAGAUAACCGAAAGUAGAAAUGACUCCCGGAACGUUGUGUUCAUCCCCGAAAGACGCGGGACUCCUCGAGCUUCCAACUGGGAAAAAGGCUUCCAAUAUACGACAUUGAAUGAUCGUGGAUCCCUGAAAAGAGGCUCGAGCCAUCGUUGAAAGAAAAGGAAGCGAGAGCUGAGGGGAAAACGGUCGGUCCGGAAUUGCUACCUCCUCCUCCUCCUCCACCCCCAUUAGUCGUCCUUUUUGCCCAAGAGCCUCUAAUGCCAUCUGUGCUGCCAACGGGGGUUGGAGGGGAGGGGGCGGAUUCUGCCCGUGCCAGGACGCGGACAAAGACCCUUCCGGAUCCCCGGAGCACGGGCACGCUCAGAGGAGCCAUCUUGGGGAGAUGUUGCCGCGACACCUAAAAUGGCAGGCUGGCACACCGAGGUGAGCGGCACCACGGUUUUCUGCCCGGGUACCAGUGGGGAUGGCGGUGGGCAGCGGGGAGUGCGGGGGGGGCGUUUGAUGGGGGAUGGGGGCAGGAGGAAGGACGAGGGAAAUAAGAUGAGUUUCCUCUUUCCUCCCCAGUCACACAUGGCCUCCCCCUUUUCUCUUCCAUCUUCUGCUUCUGCUAAUUAGCAGUUACGGGGUGAUUCGAGGGAGGCGGGUGAGGGAAGGGUGGUGGUAGUUGGUGCUGGGAGAGGGGGGUGGAGGGGUUGGGGGGCUGGGUAGCAAACAAAAUUAAUGAGCUGGCACUGGUUGAAGGAAACCUGCCAUCCUCCCUUGUCAUGGUGGUUCUUUACUCCGCGAUGGAAGCCAGGCGAUGGCGUACAUUUUAUUUCCACCCGACAAACCUUGUGGAUGAAUUCAUGCAAAACUGCUUUUAUUGUGUGAUUUACAUUAUGGUGUUUAGUAUUAUCUUGUCUUAAUGUUCUCAGGUGAAUUCUGUAGAGGAGGCGACACUGAGAUAAUAACUAUUUGGGUAAUUGCAUUUUUAUUUUUUUAUUAGUAGAACCAUUACAGUUUUAGAUUUAGUUUACUUUAUGAACAAAUGUGUUUUAGCUCACAAAGCAGCUGUAGUGAUGUCAGGACGGACAAUUUUCAGGACAGUUUGAGGGCUUUAAAUGGCAUUUUUGAUGGAGUUAAAUUACCGCAUAUAUUUAGUAUCUCAAAUCAUCUCGGCAAUUAUUCCUAAACGUUUCAUGACUGCAACUCCAUUCGUAUAACUCCGCUACUGCAACGGCACGCACGGCAGACACAGAAAAUGUCAAAUCAGUGAUGUAAAAAGACCCCGUCUUUCCCAAAUCUGAUCAAACAAACCGACAAAACCAACUCGGGGUCUGCCGCAUAUCAAAGCUCCAAAUCUUUACCUCUCCCAUCCCUGUAACCUCUCACACACAGACGGGGGCGGACACACAAAGCUCCUGUAACCGCUGCUCGUCAUGGAGCGGAGCUGCUCGCUAUAAGAAAGUGACACGUGAGCAUGUGGGUGUGUGUGUGUGUCCGGGGCCAACAUGUGCAGCUGCAGCGCUGCCUGUGUGUUAAUGAACAGCGCUGUGCAUUUUCACAUUAUCAUUCAGCCCCGCUCUCUCCCCUCUCAAUAGCUGUUUAGUCCCCCACACCCUCCUCCAUCCCCCACCCCUCCGCCCUCAGUAAAGGCCUGCUUUCCCACCAUUGUGGGAGCUGGUGCAGCGGCGGGCCCGGGCUGGGGGGCAGGGUGGGAAAGACCCUCCAGACUAGACAUGAGCAGAUGCCUGAGACAUUAGACUGUCGUGCGGAUCACCGGGGUCGGGCGAGCUGCUGAGUUUUAAUGUGUGAGCGAGUGUAUGUGCGUUUGAUAUGUGUGAUGGCGGGGCGGGGAGGGGGGGGGGGGGGUGGCGGCGGUUCAGGGGCCCUGGAGUGCCACCUGACUAUUCAUUAGUCCUUUCAGCCUCCUCUGCAUGUCUGGAAGGCAUGUAGAUGCUGUUUUGAGAAGGAUCUUGCUGCAUUCAGACAUGACGUGCAUAUAGAGGCUCGGGGGCCGGCACCCUGUCUUUUACCAGCUGGAUGUGCUUUGUCCUUCUUGCAAACACAAUCCACGUGUCUGUGUCACACUCAGUCGGGGAAACAGACAGACGGGCAUCACAGAAAUAUCACAAGACAGCCAGAAACAGGGAUUCACCGGGAAUGACUAAGCUAAGGCGGCGGGUGCGCCCAACAAGCUGAAUGAUGUAACCUGCGGAUAAUGAUUAUUAAUCAGCCUCGUAAUGUACAUGUGCUUCCCCAAAAUAUGCGAGGCAGCCCCACAUGUCAAAAGAUCAUUCCCUCUCUUCAUAUAAAAGACUCCGAGCUGCCUUCAUACCGGUAAUUGCAUUCUCACUGCUCCUCUGUGGUAUGCAUGCGCAUUGCUCCGGGCAGAUUUGACAGAGGCAAAAAAGAAAGAAAGCAAGGUGAAGGCGAGAAAUGAAUCAUGGCGAUAGUGUAGCUCGCUUAAUGCUACGUGUCUGUUGCAGAUCUCCAUGGUAAAAGAGGAGCAGAGGGCGGGCAUGUGAAACGUGGCCUUCUGUAAGUCAGACUGCUGACGCAUCGAGAAAGGGUUAAAGACAACGGAGACAGACGUAUGCGCGCCGGAGGCAGGUGUUGCAAGCCUGUUUUUUUUUUUUUUGCCACCCGUGUCAAUGCCACAUCUGCUGAGCUCGCGUUAGCUAGUGCCGUGCCCUGCUGAAGCAAUUUGCAACCCCGCAAGGAUCUGCGAGCGCAUGCGAUGGCUGCAGCAGUCAACAGAGACCGGGUGGUCAAAGACGGCCGGGGACUGAAGGAAAUCUGGCAGUAAAAUGUAUUUGUUCUUACUAUGCGUGUUAGCAGAGGGAUCAAUAUUACUAGGGUGUAAAAAAAAAUACACACAACAUAUUUAUUUAUUUAUCUGUUGAUUACUACUGCUUAUUCUGACUAAUUGCAAUAUGCAGCUUGACAUAAAAUGAGAGUUAGGGAAAACAAUUGGUUUUAACCUGUUUUAAUCCAGAGCGUCUGAACAGUGGGUUUUAGCUUCCUGGACGCCGUGUCAGGAGAAUUUAGGAUGUGAACGUCCCUGAAUAUUCCUCUGCACGCUGUAGACACAGUCGCUUAAAUAUUCAUGCUUCAAUUUCUUCUUGUAAAUUACCUUAAAACCAAACUAAAAAAUGGAUCUCGCCUUCAUAAAAUGACAUAAGUAUAGAUGAUUACCUUCCUUUCUUUUUGUCUUCCUUUGUUAUUUAUUUAUAACUAUCUGGGAUUUCAGUGCAAGAAAAUUAUAAUGUGUGACAUGAUGAAGGGACAGAAGCCGGCGCCCGCUUCCAAUUUCGUGUGGGUGAAGCGGCGUAGCCAUAGUAGCGAUAAAAUGUUAAUACCAUACAGCUCCUGGGUUACCUCUUUGGAUUCUCCUCCCUGUGUGUGGACACUAUUAAUGUUUUAACGGCUCGACUGUGAUUUAUAAAGCCGGGGCUCGGGGGGCCCGCCCAUAGUCUUGGAUGAGGUCCAAUGUGGGUCAAGCGGGGAUCAUCUGGGGGUUUUUAAUGUAACUUUGGCCGAGACUAAUCUAGCACAAAGCCUGACAUUAAGUAUCUUAGAAGAAGAUGGAGAGAAGUUCCUACAUCACGGGCUUUUCAGAUUACGUCUGUUGGCCGCGGCGUCCUGAGUAGGGGUCCCGUACGCUCCAAUGAAAGUAGAGGAGAAUUAGGUGACUGAGCCUUUAAUACAGCGGCCCUUUGUAAUCAUAUCAGGAGGAGAUGAGGUUCUAGGGUGAGGAGAAUUAGGGGAAUCCUUGAUGUGACCUCAUUUUUCAUUUAUUUGUUACUCUACUACUCUACUGGUACAGUAUGUGAAUUUGAUACCAGGCUAAGGGUUGAAAAGAGUGUGCUCAUCCUCGUGAUACAUACGACUCCAUCACACAAGUUCAAGUUCAUGGCUGCAGUCGCUCUGUCUGCGGCCAGUCGGGGAGUGAUUGGGGAGUCUGUGACCACCCUGCAGUGCAGGGGGAGGAGGAGGAGGUGGAGGUGGUGGUUGACUGGGUGGAUGGGGGGUACAUGGUCUUUGACCUCUGUUCGGGUUGCUAUGGGAAAGAGGCCGGCCGGCUCAGUAAUGUACGAGUGAAAAGGCCGAACUGUCAGAGCUGUCCAGCAGACGUCAACCCCCCACCACACACACACAGACACACACGCACACACACGCACGUUAACGCUAACCCAUUCACGCAUACUCACAGAUGGCACGGGCCAGCUUGGGAAUGUUAGCUGCGAGAGAACGCUUUAUGUUCAUCAGACACCAUUAUAAUUCAUCCAGCCUUUAGAGUUACGCAUUAGCAGUCUACACCUCUUCCUCAGAGCCGCUAUUGUGUUGAUCCACUUGUGUCCCAUUUUUCAGCCUCAUCCUACACAUCUGAACAGCCGUUGUGUGCUGUGGACUUAUGGGCUUAUAAAACAGCAAACAUACCACAGCUUUGGUGAAGUACAAUAACUUCUUACAUUGAAAAGAAAGAGCUUGGUCUCCUUUUUUUUUUUAGAAGUUCUACAAAUAAAAUCAGCCAUAAAAAAAGACUUUCAAACUAAAACUCAAAGAUAGCACAAGGUUUUCGAUCAAGAGUCCAUUCGCUGCAACACACGCCUCCAUUUCUUGUGUUGUAUUUUUUCCAUUUAGAUAAACUGCCUGUAUAGGAAUAUAUAGAUAAAAUAAUCUGUGGCAUCAGUUGAGAAUAUAUUUCUGUCUGCUCGUUUCAGAAUCGCCUGUGUUCAAUGUUUAAGUGGCUGGGUGUCAGAGAGGCCAUGCAAAUCUACUGAUUGUAAUAUGUGCAUGUUUCCAUGCCCCCUCUGUAAACGUGUGCAAGUGUGUCCUCAUUUAAGGUUGCAUUCACCCAGGAAUAAAAGAGCACAUAUUUGCAUACGCUGCAUGCUGUCUGCAGAGAGGGAGCAGUCAAAAAAAGAUAUCAGAGGUGGACAAAGGGAACGAGGACAAAUCCUUCAUUGUGGUGUUGGUGGGAGAAAAGCCUUGUCUGAAUUGGGGAGUGGGUGAAAAUUGACAGAGAAAGAGUUUGGGCUGGUUCCCUGUGGGGAUAAAAGCCUUAAGAUCCCCCCCAUGCAUACAGCCUGAAAAUGGGAGAGAAGAACAACACGCAGAGCGCAGGGGCCUAUUUUGACAGGGCAUGAAAGGAAAGUUUGUUUUUAUGAAACACUGCCUACAAUUUCUGAUGUGCAGAACUAAACCUCAUGCCCAACAACAGAUUUAGUUGUUUGUUUGCAGAGUGUUAGGCAGUGUCAGGAUCAUUGUGCCCCUUAAACAUAUCACUCGCUUUGAUAUGUCUGCACCUUCAUGUGUUGGGGGGGGGUUUAAUCUUUUUAAAACAACAAAUGUUCAAAGCCAUGUGUGAUAUAAAAAGGUUUUUUUAAAUAAUAAAACUUAUUUUGAAUGCUUCAUCUUCUAGUUCUCGACAAAUGUUCUCUGGUGCUAUAUUCUCAGUAUGAAUGUCAAUGAUCCUCCAGAAAGUAUGUAUUGCAGUGGGGGAAAAAACGUACUUCUUUCUUUUGAAUCGGUAUUAUUUGCAGAGGCGAGUGUUUAUGGAACAAAGUUUUAUUCUCAUGCUGAUGACUCCCUCUAUCGUUUAUUCCCAGGACGGGGAACAGGAUCGGCCUCUCUGCGCUCUGAAGGAACCUGCUUGGGCGCGAGGACAUGGACCAAACUCAACGAAAUACUGUCUUCAGAAAGUCUCAACAGAGAUCAUCAGUCACCUAAACGAGGAGAGCAGCCCUGUGUGGCAAAGGACAUGUAGAAAGAAAAGAGCUACUGUACAAGCUGGAAAUGUGCCUGUUAUCCAUGUUCAUGAUAUUGUAUUAAUGUGUGUGAUACAUAUACAUUAUUUUAAAAAUUGCAGAAAACUUGUUCUCACCGAUAUAUCUAAAGUGCAUCUACAUGUUUUAAUUAAUAAUUUAUGAAACUGCUGUUCUCAUAUGUCUGAAUUGAAAUAGGAAUUUAUAAGACUGGAGUGCAUUACUGAAAAAGCUGAUUGUAUUUCUUCUUUGAAUUAAAUCGAUAAUGAAAAUAUUUUCAUCUCUGUGUUACAAUCGUGCUUUUGAGCAAUUAUUUCAGUGAUAAAUUAGGAAGGGAAACAAUAAAUUAUUACAAUGCGGACAUCCUAAAGAAUGUGUUUUCAUGUUGAAUGUUUUCAACAGCACUUUGUCUUUAAUCUUCAAUAAAAAAAUGAACAAGGAUCGAUCUAAAACAGACAGUAUACGGAGUCAAGCCGGCUGGACCUUUUCUCUGCCGGCUUUCUGUUUUUAGAUUCAAAUGGUAAUUUCUGUGAGGAUCGUGCGAGGCGGUCUUUGAGUGACCCCACAUUAAGGUUUAAUUAGGAGGAGCAGACGGGGGGUUGUGUGUUGAUCAGUGUGGGAAAAGAGAAAUUCACUGCCUGAACUGUCUACACUGCGGAAAUAGACAUUCACUCUGUUCAUAUCGGCUGCGAAAAAUGAUACGGCUAAAUAACAGGAGUGUUAUAUUUGGAAAGGUUUCUUUUUACUGCUCAGCAGGCACGAUGUAUCGGGGAUUACAGGCAGUCAAACAACAGAUGCUCCUGCUUCUUAUGAGAGAUUAUCUCUGUCUCUAGGACACAAAUUAUUUCCUCUCCAUUGAAAUGAUGCCUUAUCUUAGAUUCAGA
Gasterosteus aculeatus aculeatus (three-spined stickleback) is the source of this 6732-nucleotide long non-coding RNA. The record is from Ensembl. Lineage: Eukaryota; Metazoa; Chordata; Actinopteri; Perciformes; Gasterosteidae.